Apis cerana (Asiatic honeybee) is the source of this 1374-nucleotide long non-coding RNA. RefSeq lists it as uncharacterized. NCBI's taxonomy places the organism in Eukaryota, Metazoa, Arthropoda, Insecta, Hymenoptera, Apidae. The record is from RefSeq and is a predicted model, not a curated record.
AGUAGGGGCGCACGCUCCUCCAGGGUAGGAUUAGUCACGAUCCCACUCGGUCGUAAAGUUUCAAAGAUUGCAGACAGACGCUACAGUUUCCUCCCAAUCGAUUCUGGCGAGAGACUCGAUCUGAAUUCGAUAGAUAAAAACGACAAAAGAAUUUCCUUUAGGGAAAUAAAAUCGAGACACGAUUGUAAUUUUUUCUUUUCUCGAUAAAUGUGUAGAAAUGGAUUUCAGGCGAUUAUAAUGAAAAAAAGGAAAUGAAAAGAUACUAAAAUAUUAAUAAAAAUUUAAUACAUAUAAAACUUUACCUGACGCAUAUAAUUUUUUAUUCUUCGUAUUACGUUAUAAAAUGGUUAUAAAUUCACCAUUUUACUACUCAUUGUUCACUUUCUUUUAUACUUUUCUUUUUAAAAAGAUAUAUGCUAAAGAUAUUUGCUAAAAAUAUACAAUUAUAUUUAAUGAAUAUAAAAUUGGUUAAUAGAUCGAGUACUUUUGUUUGAAAUUAACGAGUUUGCAGGGUGCUUGAGUUUACGCAUCCAGCUCUGUAUCUCUUAUCGAAUAAAAUUACGCGCUCCUUUAAGCAGGGCUGGCACUAUUCGCCAAAUUACCUCUGAAAAAUAUUUAUCAACUGACAAUUAAUGCUUUAACGUUAGAUAAUUUUUUUUAUUAAUAUCUCAUUUUUCUUUUCUUUUCUUAUUGGAUUAUGACAAUUAGUCGUUAUUAGAACUUUCUCAAACAAGACUGAUUUCUUUGCUUCGUCCCACCAACAUGGCGUCACCCUUAAGGCUGUAGUGGCGCCAAGCAUUGCUUGCGAUCGAUGCGCUCAUGAACCAGUGAAAAUAUAUAUAUCCUACACAAUAAAUAACAUUAUUAAACAAAUAACAACGUUCGAUUAACAAAAUUAAAAUUAUAUUUUGUCCUAUUGAACCACUUUACCUUAAUUGCAAAUAAUUUAUUUCAAUCUUGAAACUAUUCUUUGACCAAUUAAAUUUUUGAACAAAGAACUUCGUGCUCAAUUUUUUACAUUUAUAUGACGAACUUAACGAAUGAAUUCAUUAAUUCAAUCUGCAUAAUCAUUUUUAUCCUUCGAUAACAAUAAUAUUCCAUAAGACGCAAAACCAAAUAAUAGUUCAAUCUGUAAUGUUAAUUAUUCUUAAUUUAUGAUCGAUGAUCGAUAACAGGGAAAUAGGGGUUGUCUCAUAUAAAGAUUUUAUUUCGUUAGUACGUACACAUUUGCGCCAGCACAAAAAAGGAUCGUAUCAUAUAAAAUGAGAACAAUGCAGUUUCCUUUUCCGAGACUAGACACAAUAUAGAGGGCGUGGGGACUCAGGGUUAUUGCGUUUAUACCCUUCGUUUUUUUUCAUGAUUACUUGCCGUAUA